CGUGGCCAAGUUGGCGCGUCUUGUAUCCCAAAUCCAUGCGGAAUUCCGCAGCCAAACCCGCAGGGGCUGGGUAAAGACUCAUCAGGAGGAGAGCUCUUGUUUUCCCUUCCUUUUGUUCCACCCCAGACAUUCACCCAGUGGAUGCUUCACCUAUUUCUGAAGGCAGGACUGAAUUCUGCAGAUCCCAGUGAUACAAGCACAGACUUGCUGGAAGUGUGAAGAGGACAAAGAGCACCAAAUGGGAUGGAGGCAGCAGCCCAAGUCAGACCCUGUUCCAGUGCCCAGCUGUGCCAGUGAGGUUCAGCUCCACCACCAUGGGACUGUGAACAAACCCAACUCAACCCGGCAAUGCUGGGUUCCCCUCCUUCCUCUGCUCCUCCAUCCUUUUUGCAUUAUUAAAUGUAUUCCAGUCUAAUAGGAUUUUAUAUAUCAUCAUUUUCCCCCGAAGUGGGAAAAAAGGAAACAAUUAGGAGCGGCAGGUCUAGCCUGGCACGAAGCAAUGCCGUUAAGCAGGAGGCUGCUACGCUGCUGUUGGUUUGGAGCCUCUUUAGCAUUUUCAUUAGUUCCCAAAGCUUUUGAUGUCCCUAAUUUACGCCACAGACACUGCAGAGGAGGCAGGCGAUGAUUAAGACAAGCUUUUACUCUUCUGGAGUGCACCGGGUACCUCGUGGCUACGGACCCUGCAUAUAAAGCAAUAUUGCUUAUUAUUCUGCGCUGUUUGUUCCAUUAAUCAUGAGCCUGCCUUGCUCUGGGAAGAGGAACUGGAAUACAGCAAUAUUCUGUCUGCUUGUUUUUAAAAUACAUGUGU
Corvus hawaiiensis (hawaiian crow) is the source of this 808-nucleotide long non-coding RNA. RefSeq lists it as uncharacterized. Lineage: Eukaryota; Metazoa; Chordata; Aves; Passeriformes; Corvidae. The record is from RefSeq and is a predicted model, not a curated record. The transcript has 3 exons.